UUCCGGUUGAUCCUGCCGGAGGCUACCGCUAUUGGAGUUCGAUUAAGCCAUGCGAGUCGAGAGUCUUAGGGACUCGGCGUACCGCUCAGUAACACGUGGGUAACCUGCCCUAUGCUGGGGAAUAACCUCGGGAAACUGAGAAUAAUACCCUAUAGUCCACAAUGCCUGGAACGGUUUGUGGAUUAAAGCCCCGGCGGCAUAGGAUGGGCCUGCGGCGUAUCAGGUUGUAGGGGGUGUAACGUACCCUCUAGCCAUCAACGCGUACGGGUGUUGGGAGACAUAGCCCGGAGAUGGAUUCUGAGACACGAAUCCAGACCCUACGGGGUGCAGCAGGCGCGAAAACUUGGCAAUGCGAGAAAUCGUGACCAGGGAACUCCAAGUGGCUGGGGUAAGACCCAGUCUUUUCUUGACUCUUCAAAGGUCUUGGAAUAAGAGGUGGGUAAGGACGGUGCCAGCCGCCGCGGUAAUACCGGCGCCUCAAGUGGUAGUCGAUUUUAUUGGGCCUAAAACGUCCGUAGCCUGUUUGGUACAUUCGUGGGUAAAUCAACCAGCUUAACUGGUUGAAUUCUGCGAGCACGGCCAGACUUGGGACCGGGAGAGGUGUGGGGUACGCUCAGGGUAGGGGUAAAAUCCUGUCAUCCUGAGCGGACCACCUGUUGCGAAAGCGCCACACUAGAACGGAUCCGACGGUCAGGGACGAAGCCUA
This 706-nucleotide ribosomal RNA is filed under the name uncultured Candidatus Poseidoniales archaeon. Its description in RNAcentral is "bacterial SSU rRNA". It matches the Rfam family "Archaeal small subunit ribosomal RNA", at positions 1 to 713 of the family's 1478-position model. The record is from RNAcentral. Lineage: Archaea; Methanobacteriati; Thermoplasmatota; Candidatus Poseidoniia; Candidatus Poseidoniales.